AUCAUUUUUUAUCUCGAACCCUUCUCCCAACUCCUCAUCUCACGCGGCCUUCUCCAUCUAACUCCUCUCCGGCAAACCCCUCUCUCGCGAACCCCUCUCCGCAAACCACUCCUCCGAACUCCUCUCCGUCAAGACCACACCUUCGUCAAGCGGCAGAUCCCGGUGCUGAGGCGAUCGACCACGACAGAUCGACCCAUCUCUUCGCCUCCUUCACCCCCGACGUUGAGGUGGUGACUGGUAUAAGGAGGACAAGAUGAGCGUGAGUCCAGUGCCGGCCUCGGACACCCAUGGCAACCUGGACGAGUAGAUCGCGCAGCUCAUGCAGUGCAAGCCGCUCGCCGAACAGGAGGUUAGGGUGCUUUGCGAAAAAGCUAAGGAGGUUUUAAUGGAAGAAAGCAAUGUUCAGGCCAACUGUUCAAUCUGUUCAAAGCU
Long non-coding RNA from Zingiber officinale, 432 nucleotides. RefSeq lists it as uncharacterized. NCBI's taxonomy places the organism in Eukaryota, Viridiplantae, Streptophyta, Magnoliopsida, Zingiberales, Zingiberaceae. The transcript is spliced from 3 exons. The record is from RefSeq and is a predicted model, not a curated record.